CAGGAGCCGAUACAGGUGCUGCAUGGCUGUCGUCAGCUCGUGCCGUGAGGUGUUGGUUAAGUCCCCCAACGAGCGUAACCCCUGUUGCUAGUACCUUUUCUGGCGAGACUGCCCUGUAAAACGGGGAGGAAGGUGGGGAUGACGUCAAGUCAGCAUGGCCCUUACGCCUUGGGCUACACACACGCUACAAUGGGUGGUACAAUGGGUUGCAAUAGAGCGAUCUGGAGCUAAUCCUUCAAAGCCAUCCUCAGUUCGGAUUGCAGGCUGAAACCCGCCUGCAUGAAGCUGGAGUUGCUAGUAACCGUAGGUCAGCACACUACGGUGAAUACGUUCUCGGGCCUU
Molecule: ribosomal RNA, 342 nt
Filed under: uncultured Chloroflexota bacterium
Lineage: Bacteria; Bacillati; Chloroflexota
Description: bacterial SSU rRNA
Rfam family: Bacterial small subunit ribosomal RNA
Source: RNAcentral